RNAcentral lists this ribosomal RNA (497 nucleotides) under uncultured bacterium. Its description in RNAcentral is "partial 16S ribosomal RNA". It matches the Rfam family "Bacterial small subunit ribosomal RNA", at positions 28 to 507 of the family's 1533-position model. The record is from RNAcentral.
GACGAACGCUGGCGGCGUGCCUAAUACAUGCAAGUUGAGCGCUGAAGGUUGGUACUUGUACCGACUGGAUGAGCAGCGAACGGGUGAGUAACGCGUGGGGAAUCUGCCUUUGAGCGGGGGACAACAUUUGGAAACGAAUGCUAAUACCGCAUAAAAACUUUAAACACAAGUUUUAAGUUUGAAAGAUGCAAUUGCAUCACUCAAAGAUGAUCCCGCGUUGUAUUAGCUAGUUGGUGAGGUAAAGGCUCACCAAGGCGAUGAUACAUAGCCGACCUGAGAGGGUGAUCGGCCACAUUGGGACUGAGACACGGCCCAAACUCCUACGGGAGGCAGCAGUAGGGAAUCUUCGGCAAUGGACGAAAGUCUGACCGAGCAACGCCGCGUGAGUGAAGAAGGGUGUCGGGUCGUAAAACUCGGUUGGUAGAGAAGAACGUUGGUGAGAGUGGAAAGCUCAUCAAGUGACGGUAACUACCCAGAAAGGGACGGCUAACUACGUG